Molecule: ribosomal RNA, 870 nt
Filed under: Triticum aestivum (bread wheat)
Lineage: Eukaryota; Viridiplantae; Streptophyta; Magnoliopsida; Poales; Poaceae
Description: partial small subunit ribosomal RNA
Source: RNAcentral
AUGUUCGAGGAGAUGGCCGCCGAUUCCAGCAUGGGCAUGGGGAUGGGCUUCCACCAGGGGGCCUCCUCCUUGCACCACCACCACCAUAACAUGCUCUCCUUUCAAUCCAAUCCCGACUCCGCCCCCGCCCCCGCCCCCGCGCCCCCUGCCCCUCCCGUCUUCCUCCCCUCCCCCAACGCUCCCGUGCUCCAGGGGGCGUCGCCCAAGUACAAGUUCGUCACCGGCUCACCCUCCGACUGGACCCCCUAUGAGCUCUCCAUAUUCCAGGAGGGCCUCGCCAGGUAUGCUCGUGAGCCCACCAUUAUGAAAUACAUCAAGAUUGCUGCUAUGCUGCCCACUAAGACCAUCAGGGACGUCGCGUUAAGAUGCCGGUGGACUGCUGGAAAGGAGAGUAGGAGGAGGAAACCUGAUGAAUUCUAUGCAGGGAAAAGGAUAAGGGACUUGAAGGAGAAAAUGGUUGUUUCUACCUCACUAGCUAAUUUUCAGAUGGCACCUCCAAAUAAUUUAGUCCCCUUCUCGAUGUCGAUGCAUCAUCCAGGUCAGAAUAGCCUGGCUGCAAAUGAAGCAGUCCCUGUUUUAGAUAAUGCAACUCAGCAUCUUCUGGAGGAAAAUAACCAGUUACUCAAUCAGAUCUCUGCAAAUAUUGAAACUUUCAAGCUGGGGGAGAACAUGGAUCUCUUUCUACGUACGAAUAACAAUAUUCGAACAAUUUUGAAAAGAAUGAGUGAGACGCCUGGUGUCAUGGGUCAGAUGCGUCCCUUGCCAGAACCUGUAAAUGAAGGCCAACUAAAUUCACUUCUUCAACUGGAUAGAGUGGUUGCCUCUUAUGGUGAUAUACUACAUAACACUCAUAUGAAGGAUGAAGCAUGA